This 2311-nucleotide long non-coding RNA is filed under the name Pan troglodytes (chimpanzee). Its description in RNAcentral is "long non-coding RNA NONPTRT017882". The record is from RNAcentral. Lineage: Eukaryota; Metazoa; Chordata; Mammalia; Primates; Hominidae.
AUAUGGUAGUUCUAGUUUUAGUUUUUUGAAAAACCUCCAUACUGUUUUUCAUAAUGGCUGUACUAUCUUAUAUUCCCACCAACAGGGUACAAAGGUUCGCCUUUCUCUGCAUCCUCACCAGCAUCUGUUAUUCCCUGCCCUUUUGAUAAAAGCCAUUUUAACGGAGGUCUGCCACAAAUGUAUGCAGAGGCCCAGGAGGAGCCAAGACUGAAAACCGGAGGGCCUAAGUCAGCGUUUCUCAGGAUGUGAUGUGCAGAGACCUCAAUCUGAAUUAUCCUGCAGACCACCUUGGUCCCACCCAGACCACUGAAUCCAAACCUCUGGGGGUGGGCCCUAGAAUCUGCUCUUCCAACAGGACAAACACCCCCUUUCCACUGCACUGUAAAGUCUGGGGCUCACCAGCCACAGACCUGACUAUAGCUCAAAUGCUGUGUGUCUUUAUCUCCUGUGCACUAGGGAAAGAACCAGGAGAGGACAGCAUAGGGGGAAGCCCAGGUCAUCCUGUGACCUCCCCCCCUCUGCUGGAGUGACCCCUUCCUCUGGUUCAAAAUCUCCAACAACAGGAUGCAGACACGCCCUAGACCUCCCUGUGUGGUGAGAUUACUUGAGGACCUGAGGUAGAACGCUUUCAGGAUGGAAACGUCUCAAGACUUGGAGUCAGACCCAUUUAGGUUCAACAAGUGGUUCUGCCACUCAGUAGCACUGAGCACACGUAGAGUCCAGAUCUUGGUUUCCAAUCAAAGGAAUCAGAGCUCCUUGGAAAGAUGGCUGAUUCUAAGGCUGGGGCAGGAAACAUGCAAGAUGAGCCUGGAGCUUCUCGUAGUGACAGGAAGUAAGGAAGCACUCAAGUGUCCCCCCCACCCCCACACACCCCCACCAUUGAUGGAGCUAUGUCAGAGGGGCGCAGAGACAACUGCAAGGCUUCUAAUGGCCAAUGCUAGAACAAUGACAGCAAGGAAUAAAUAAAGUGAUAUUUAAUUAUAACCCAAAGCAUACUACAGCUGUUCAUGAUCCCAUACUGACAUAAAUAAAUUGUUGAAUAAAUUAAUAAAUGGAGAAGAAACAAACCUUCCAGGCAGAAGAAUUCCAAAUAAUGUAUGUAGAUGCUGCACACUGAGAGAGAUAAAGCAUAGCUCCCCACUCCUAAGUGUGGGCUACACAUAGUCACUUUCUGCUCAAGAGUACAGGAUGGAAAAAAGGAAAAAAAGAGUAACAUUCCAAUCACCUGCACCAUUCAGGUGAUCGAGGUCCUCAUCAACAGUCAUAAAUGGGCCAGGCACAGUGGCUCAUGCCUGUCAUCCCAGCACUUUGGGAGGCCGAGGCAAGCAGCCCACUUGAGGCCAGGAGUUCGAGACUAGCUAGCCUGGCCAACAUAGUGAAACCCCGUCUCUACUAAAAAUUAAAAAAUUAGCCCUGAGUGGUGGCACACACCUAUAAUUAAAGCUACUUGGGAGAUUGAGGCAGGUUCAAGACUCGCUUGAACCUGGGAGGCAGAGAUUUCAAUGAGCCAAGUUCGUGCCACUGCACUCCAACCUGGGUGACAGAGUGAGACUCCAUCUCAAAAAAAGAAAAAAAAAACAUAAUUCAUGUUGCUAGAGUGUCCCCUUGAUAUGGCACUUUCAUUCUGUGACCUUCCUCCCCAAAAUCUAUAACCCGUGUCCAGUCAUGUAAAAAUGAUCAAACAAAUUCCAGGAGAGGAGCAUCCUACAAUACACCUCCCUAGCACUCCUCGAAACUGUCAAGGUCAUCAGAAAAAAGGAAAGUCUGUCACGGGGUGUCCAAUCUUUUGGCUUCCCUGGGCCACACUGGAAGAAGAGGAAUUGUCUUGGGCCACACAUAAAAUAUGCUAACACUCAGGAUAGCUGGUGAGCUAAAAAAUAAAAAAGGUCCGUGCAUCAAUCUCAUAAUGUUUUAAGAGAGUUUACGAAUUUGUGUUGGGCCACAUUCCAAGCUGUCUUGGGCCACAUGUGGCCCGUGGGCAGAGGAUUGGACAGGCUUGGUCCGUCACAAUCAAUAGGAACCCAAAGAGACAGAACAACUAAAUGUCCUGUGGUAUCCUGGAUGGGGUCCUGGAACAGAAAAGAGAUACUAGGUUUAAAAAAAAAACUAAGAGAAUCGGAAUAAACGAUGGACUUUGGUUGCUAAUAAUAUAUCAAUAUUGGCUUAUUAAUUGUAACGAAUGUACCAUACAAUGUAAGGUGUUUAUUAACAGGGAAGCAAGAUGGUGGGGCUGGGCUGGGAACUCUAUCUGCUCGAUUCUUCUGAAAUAAAGAACUGCUCUGAAAAAUAUCAUAAGUGCAAAUCUUAUAAA